GCCCUAGCACAGGUGCUGCAUGCCGUCGUCAGCUCGUGUCGUGAGAUGUUGGGUUAAGUCCCGCAACGAGCGCAACCCUUGUCUCUAGUUACCAUCAUUUGGUUGGGGACUCUAGAGAUACUGCCAAGGUUAACUUGGAGAAGUGGGGAUGACGUCAAGUCCUCAUGGCCUUUAUGUCCAGGGCUACACACGUGCUACAAUGGACGGUACAGAGGGUCGCAAUAUCGCGAGAUGGAGCCAAUCCCAAAAAGCCGUUCCCAGUUCGGAUUGGAGUCUGCAACUCGACUCCAUGAAGCCGGAAUCGCUAGUAAUCGUGGAUCAGCAUGCCACGGUGAAUACGUUCCCGGGCCUU
RNAcentral lists this ribosomal RNA (352 nucleotides) under uncultured Desulfobacteraceae bacterium. RNAcentral's name for it is "bacterial SSU rRNA". It matches the Rfam family "Bacterial small subunit ribosomal RNA", at positions 1026 to 1382 of the family's 1533-position model. The record is from RNAcentral. Lineage: Bacteria; Pseudomonadati; Thermodesulfobacteriota; Desulfobacteria; Desulfobacterales; Desulfobacteraceae.